Danio rerio (zebrafish) is the source of this 4141-nucleotide non-coding RNA. The record is from RefSeq and is a predicted model, not a curated record. NCBI's taxonomy places the organism in Eukaryota, Metazoa, Chordata, Actinopteri, Cypriniformes, Danionidae.
AAAAAAAGAAAAAAUAUAAAGAAAUUAAAAUAAGGCGGUUUUAAGAAGGCUCAGGGGGUGUUUUAUUUUAUUGUGAGCCUUUUAUUUUUAUCUGACCAAAAUUAAUACACACCAUAUUAAUUAUUGCAUUUGACUACAUAAUAAUAAUAAUAAUAGAGUGGAAGAAAUAAUACUAUGAUUGUUUGAAAUGCGUUUAGCUAAAUGGCAUAUCGUCUAUUUUAGAUAAUGAUCGUUAACACCAUUUUUUAAAUCAGUUUAGCCUACCUUUAUUUGAUUGCUGUUCAUUUGUUGUUGAAAUACGGCUUAGAUUGGAAAUAUUUUCACUAUUCGAUCAUGCACCGUCCUCAUGUAAUCAAUAUCAUAUUCUUUAAAAUGUUACUCUCAAAUAAAUUAAGCUAUAGCUUUGAAAAAAUUGAUGUCAAAUAGAAACGAGAGGUGCAAAAGCUUAAAUCCGCCAUAAAAUGAAUAAAGAAAAAAUAACAACAACAAAAACAAGUGUACUUGCAUUCGUAUUCAUUUGGACAACGUGGUCAAAUUCAAGGAAUCGACUCUUUUGUGUUCGAAACUUCAUCACUAUUGCGCAUGUUUCCUCAAAGCAUCACACUCAGCACGUAGAAGACACCAGUCCACGCGGGAAUACUGAGGCCUCUUUUAUCUCCUCUUCCACACCAGUUGAGCUGUUUGGCCACUGGACCAAACACUUUGGAGGCUACACGCCAAAUGGUUUUUUUCAGAGUUUGUCCUCCUCUGAUGGAUAACCUCUUCAUCUUAAAAAUAAAAGCUAAUUGCCUUUCCAGUUGUUCAAGGUCCUCAAUUGUUUCAAUAGGAAAGGUGUCAUCCUCAGUGUCCACCACCAUUUGACCACUUGACCAAGGGGCAAGGGACUGGACCACUGAAGUUAGAUGGGUAAUCUUCAUGUCCAGCUCAUUAAGCUUCUCCAAAAUUGCCCUCUCCACAGCUGCAACACACUCGAUGGGUGGUCCCCCCAAGCAUCUUCUUGCUCAUUUACAUGGGACAUGCUUAUUGGAAAAACUGGUGCUGAGAAAAAGGUCAAGUUGCUAAAUGAAAUGUGACCGUAAUUACCUGAAGUGAGACAUACAACUUACAUGGUGCUCUGUCUUGUAAAGGCCGCAGCACAGAAAAUGUGUCCUCUGUUGGAUUGUACAGAAAAUGUUGAGUUACCUAGUGUUGGGGUUUAUCCCAAGUGUCUUGGUGCUCCACUUCCUGGCAGAACCUCACAGGCAUUUCAGAUUCCGAGAUGUCAGAUGUGUAGCAUGCCUGUUUCCAUUUCUUUGAAAUCUUGUCAAAAGAUGCUGAAAGAAAUAAAAAUUCUGGCCUGAUGCUUGGUCCAACCUUUAUCUGGUUGUGGUGCCUCCAUCAACCGGACACUCUUCAACACCCUGUCUAUCUCCUUGUAUGGAGGCCACCACGAGUGACCCUCUGAGUACCAAGACUUUGCGACAGGUCCGGUACUCCCUUCGUGAAUGAACUCCACUAUCAGGUACAUUUUUUUUAAGCUGCAAGAACCUAGAGCCCCAUAGUGUUGAAAGACACAUAUUAAAUUUCGGUUGUUUAUGUGCAUGAUUCAAAUACACAAAAUACAUUUCAUGCAAAAUAAUGAUGCAAGUUAAUAUUGAGAAAUUUUUUCCCAAGCACAUAUUACCAAUUCCAGACCACAUCAAUCUUAAGAACCACUACUACUUUUGUAUUCAUCAUUCUUUAUUGAUAUAUAAUUUUCUGACAACACUCAAAGUAAAAAAUGCUUUAAAUUCAGGUGUUUUACUGAUAAAAAUAUAACUUGGACUGAAAAGUUGCAAAAUUAUUAAAUGACGGUGAAAAGAAGGCAAUACUAGAAAUUGCAAAAUAAAGUAAUGACAACUAUUUUGGAUCAUUUGAAUCGAGCUAUUUUCACUUUCUGCCUUCAUAUAAUAUUACAUAUUGGUUAUAGUUGUAAUUAGGGCUUGACAUUAAUACUCGCCAAACCACCAAAUGCAGGUAGAUUUCAGCUGUGGCGGGUAAAGACUGCCAUUUCCACUAGCCACUUUGGCUGGUUGAAAAUAAUUUUUUAAUCGUAGUUUUCUUAAAAGCAGGGUUCAACAAUAAGGAUGGUCCAGUUUUUGGGACAGUAGACAGGAUUGUCAGUGUCCUGACCAGGCCAGUGCUGGCUUAUCACUAAAUAUUAUAAUUUCAGUUUUUUACCGUUUAUCAAUAUGCAUGCAAAUGUGAUAAAAAAAAAUUAUAUAUAUUUAUUUUUUUCAAAAUUAGUGGUAUACACAGUAAUGAGUGGAACAGCAAAUGAGAUUUUAGAAUCAAGAAGCAGCAUGAUUGACAAAAACAACUGUGUUUAUGCAAAACAAAAGAUAGCAGAUAAAUACCAAAUGAGAGCUUGAUCAUACACACUGUGAGACACAGGCUAUUCUUACUCACUGAGAGAUGUUUUUGAGAGCCGAGUGUUUAAAAUACUUGUGCACUACCGUGUCCUUGCAUGUAGCAAUCCUCCUUGGAAAUGAAACUGGUGUGAUGGAUUCUAUUUGAAAUAGACUGGACAAAAGUAAUUCUCGUGCAUCCACAGUCCUUCUGCUUUCAAGAGCUUUAGAUUUAAAAACAGGUAUUUGUAAGCAGCAGUGAUUGCCACUUUAACCAUUGUUUGAACAGAUUAUUAAUGUGCCUAAUGUUAACUGUGUGCACAUGAUUAAUAUUUCAUUAUCACACAUGGUUUGUUUUUCACCUGCUUUCUUUUGCUUGCAAGUCAAUUUUCUGCAUAUAAAAUAUAUUUUCCCAACAACAAAAUUGUGGCUAGUGAAAAAGGCAAGUGGCUAGUAACCUUGGAAACUACAAGCCUCAGUGACUGGUGAUAAAAAAAGUCAAUAUCAAGCCCUGGUAGUGAUUAAGGUUUACAAUUUUCAAAAUGCUCUAGGAAAAAAUAUGAUCAGAAUAUCAUCUUGCACAAUAAUUAUACUCGCACUAUACAGUAUAUGUAAAAAAAAAAAAAUGUGGAAAUAGAUAGAUACUAUGUGUGUAAAGUUUAAACUGAAACAAAAUAAUUUCUGCAAGGGACUAAAAAAGCUUUCAUUUCAAUAUUUUCAAUCUUGCAGAGAUGGAUUGGUCCUGACAUGACAUCAGUAGGUAGAUGCCAAGUGUGGAGGAUGGAAGCGUGGGGAUAGUCAAAAAGGAGUUAAUGUUUGCUGAAGGUGGUGUAGACCAUGUAAAUGCCAUGCUUUUCUGAAAUUAUGUUUUGCAGCUUUGCAACCUUUCUGCCAAUAUAGACAAAUGGUUUGCCUGGUCCAGUUUCAGAGUAUAUGGGCAUACUCACUCUAGGUGCAUUUCUGAGGAAUGCCAUCCUGUUUUCCAGGUGCACACCAUCCUGAAUACAUGUUUCACACCCAUGGUAACCUGGUUGGCCAUUUUAGAAAAGCAUGUUGCAAAAGCAAACUUGAAUGUUAACUUUAGUCAUUCAAAUUCAAAGCCAUUUUUUUUAACUCUUUGAUUUCAGAGAUUAGGUCUUCGAGAUACUCAUUCAGGGAGCUAGUUUUACAGUACCUUCAGCCCACAAUAAAUCUAUUGGCACAUGUUCCCCCUGCACCAAGUUUUAAACUUCUACUAGACUGAGCCAGCAUUGAGCAAAUGAACUCUUGUAGAGAGGAAGACCAUCAAUGCUCACCUGGAACUUAAAAUUUUUAUCUUCCUUAAAAUGUACAUGUUGUCAUAGAGGACCCUUGAAAUGGAUGCCAUUGAACCAAAAGUAUAUCACUGGCCCUGUGCGUUCAAAGAGAACUCAUGUGCAAAAAGAAGGCUAUUCUCUUUGAACGCACUUUACCUAAUAUUGUCCUUGUAUCUUUUGGCAGACUCGGAUUGUAAUUGUGAAUGAUUAUGAGUAAUUCAUUUAGUGAUGCAUGUGUUAAUUUUUUUUUCUGUUUCCCAUCUUGUCAAAGUCAUCAUUGAGGGGACUUGAACUAGUCAGAUUGACUCGUUUAUGAAGCACUUGCCAGGAUGAUACUGCAUUCAGUCUCAUUAACAUGGGACAAACAGUCCAAGAAGUCAGUGCCGUCUUCAACAGUGCUGCUUGUCAAUGCCACCAUACUGUUCCCUCAAUAGUGAUGCUUAUAACACAUGCAUUGAAUAAAGCUGUUUGUCCACCUUG